AAGGAUCAUUACAACGUAUCCACGUACAAACUCGCGAACUGUUCCCCUGUAGAGUAAACAACUUGUGGAUGAAGUUAAUGGCUGAGAGUCUCUUUUUGAUGGAUUUCUGGAUUUUUAUCUGGAACUGGGAGCUCUCAGUCGCUGGCAAGAAUUGCUGGGACUUCGUUUACUCUGCUGCGGUAUUGCCUCCCAUCAGAGGUGUUGUAUCAACCAAUUUAUUAACCCCAUGCAAAUUUUGAACUGAACUUUGUAGCCGAGUAACUGUCCUUGCUGGCUUCGGUCACGGACAUGCUCAGUUACUAUCUUUAUAAAAUAAAGAACAACUCUUAACAACGGAUAUCUUGGUUCUC
RNAcentral lists this unclassified non-coding RNA (350 nucleotides) under uncultured fungus. Its description in RNAcentral is "partial contains 18S rRNA, ITS1, 5.8S rRNA, ITS2 and 28S rRNA". Lineage: Eukaryota; Fungi. The record is from RNAcentral.